Molecule: ribosomal RNA, 1144 nt
Filed under: Salmonella enterica subsp. enterica serovar Give
Lineage: Bacteria; Pseudomonadati; Pseudomonadota; Gammaproteobacteria; Enterobacterales; Enterobacteriaceae
Description: partial 23S ribosomal RNA
Rfam family: Bacterial large subunit ribosomal RNA
Source: RNAcentral
GAGCACUGUUUCGGCUAGGGGGCCAUCCCGGCUUACCAACCCGAUGCAAACUGCGAAUACCGGAGAAUGUUAUCACGGGAGACACACGGCGGGUGCUAACGUCCGUCGUGAAGAGGGAAACAACCCAGACCGCCAGCUAAGGUCCCAAAGUCAUGGUUAAGUGGGAAACGAUGUGGGAAGGCCCAGACAGCCAGGAUGUUGGCUUAGAAGCAGCCAUCAUUUAAAGAAAGCGUAAUAGCUCACUGGUCGAGUCGGCCUGCGCGGAAGAUGUAACGGGGCUAAACCAUGCACCGAAGCUGCGGCAGCGACGCUGAUGCGUUGUUGGGUAGGGGAGCGUUCUGUAAGCCUGCGAAGGUGGCCUGUGAGGGUUGCUGGAGGUAUCAGAAGUGCGAAUGCUGACAUAAGUAACGAUAAAGCGGGUGAAAAGCCCGCUCGCCGGAAGACCAAGGGUUCCUGUCCAACGUUAAUCGGGGCAGGGUGAGUCGACCCCUAAGGCGAGGCCGAAAGGCGUAGUCGAUGGGAAACGGGUUAAUAUUCCCGUACUUGGUGUUACUGCGAAGGGGGGACGGAGAAGGCUAUGUUGGCCGGGCGACGGUUGUCCCGGUUUAAGCGUGUAGGUGUGUGUUCCAGGUAAAUCCGGUUCACUUUAACACUGAGGCGUGAUGACGAGGCACUACGGUGCUGAAGCAACAAAUGCCCUGCUUCCAGGAAAAGCCUCUAAGCAUCAGGUAACAUCAAAUCGUACCCCAAACCGACACAGGUGGUCAGGUAGAGAAUACCAAGGCGCUUGAGAGAACUCGGGUGAAGGAACUAGGCAAAAUGGUGCCGUAACUUCGGGAGAAGGCACGCUGACACGUAGGUGAAGUGAUUUACUCAUGGAGCUGAAGUCAGUCGAAGAUACCAGCUGGCUGCAACUGUUUAUUAAAAACACAGCACUGUGCAAACACGAAAGUGGACGUAUACGGUGUGACGCCUGCCCGGUGCCGGAAGGUUAAUUGAUGGGGUCAGCGCAAGCGAAGCUCCUGAUCGAAGCCCCGGUAAACGGCGGCCGUAACUAUAACGGUCCUAAGGUAGCGAAAUUCCUUGUCGGGUAAGUUCCGACCUGCACGAAUGGCGUAAUGAUGGCCAGGCUGUCUCCACCCGA